This is a long non-coding RNA of Sinocyclocheilus grahami, 183 nucleotides long. RefSeq lists it as uncharacterized. The record is from RefSeq and is a predicted model, not a curated record. NCBI's taxonomy places the organism in Eukaryota, Metazoa, Chordata, Actinopteri, Cypriniformes, Cyprinidae. The transcript is spliced from 3 exons.
CGAGCUGGUUGGCCCUCCAGGAGUAGGAUUGGACACUCCUGGCAGAUUACUGAGCAGUUGUGUAGAGCUUCAGUGAGUUGGAGACAUGGGUGACUUCCCGACUCUACAGACAAACUAUCAGAGACUUCCUGUUGCCGGUGAUGAAAGUGAUUCUUCACAUGAGAGUGUUGCAUCUCCUUCACU